UAGGAUUCGUGACUGGGGUGAAGUCGUAACAAGGUAGCCGUAUCGGAAGGUGCGGCUGGAUCACCUCCUUUCUAGA
This 76-nucleotide ribosomal RNA is filed under the name Pseudoduganella buxea. RNAcentral describes it as "partial 16S ribosomal RNA". It matches the Rfam family "Bacterial small subunit ribosomal RNA", at positions 1463 to 1533 of the family's 1533-position model. Lineage: Bacteria; Pseudomonadati; Pseudomonadota; Betaproteobacteria; Burkholderiales; Oxalobacteraceae. RNAcentral also lists the same sequence under 2 other names. The record is from RNAcentral.